RNAcentral lists this unclassified non-coding RNA (285 nucleotides) under uncultured Cortinarius. RNAcentral's name for it is "sequence contains ITS2". The stretch from base 1 to 52 matches the Rfam family "5.8S ribosomal RNA", at positions 103 to 154 of the family's 154-position model. Lineage: Eukaryota; Fungi; Basidiomycota; Agaricomycetes; Agaricales; Cortinariaceae. The record is from RNAcentral.
AACGCACCUUGCGCUCCUUGGUAUUCCGAGGAGCAUGCCUGUUUGAGUGUCAUUAAUAUCUAUAUCAACCUUCUCUUGUAGAGUGUGGUUUGGAUGUGGGGGUUUGCUGGCCUCUUUAAAGGUGUCAGCUCCCCUGAAAUGCAUUAGCGGAACAACCUCGUUCAUUGGUGUGAUAACUAUCUACGCUAUUGGAUGUGAGGGACAGUUCAGCCGUCUAACAGUCCACGGACAAUUUAUCAUCAUUAAUGUGACCUCAAAUCAGGUAGGACUACCCGCUGAACUUAA